UGGGGAAUAUUGCACAAUGGGCGAAAGCUUGAUGCAGCGACGCCGCGUGGAGGAUGAAGGUUUUCGGAUUGUAAACUCCUGUUAAACGGGAAGAAAGACUCAUGGCUAAUAUCCAUGAGGGAUGACGGUACCGUUAGAGAAAGCACCGGCAAACUUCGUGCCAGCAGCCGCGGUAAUACGAAGGGUGCGAGCGUUAUUCGGAAUGACUGGGCGUAAAGAGCGUGGAGGCGGUUUAGUAAGUCAGCUGUUAAAGAACCCGGCUUAACUGGGUACAGGCGGUUGAAACUGCUAGACUAGAGUGCAGGAGAGAAGGGUGGAAUUCUCGGAGUAGCGGUAAAAUGCGUAGAUCUCGAGAGGAACACCGGUUGCGAAGGCGGCUCUUUGGCCUGUAACUGACGCUUAAGCGCGAAAGCGUGGGGAGCAAACAGG
RNAcentral lists this ribosomal RNA (429 nucleotides) under uncultured bacterium. Its description in RNAcentral is "bacterial SSU rRNA". It matches the Rfam family "Bacterial small subunit ribosomal RNA", at positions 355 to 776 of the family's 1533-position model. The record is from RNAcentral.